GAUGAACGCUGGCGGCGCGCCUAACACAUGCAAGUCGAACGAUUAAAGCACCUUCGGGUGUGUAUAAAGUGGCGAACGGCUGAGUAACACGUGGGCAACCUGCCCCUUUCAUUGGGAUAGCCACGGGAAACCGUGGAUAAUACCGAAUACUUCGAGACUUCCGCAUGGAAGACCCGAGAAAGCUCCGGCGGAGAGGGAUGGGCCUGCGGCCUGUUGGCUUGUUGGUGGGGUAACGGCAUACCAAGGCAAUGAUGGGUAGCUGGGUUGAGAGACCGACCAGCCAGAUGGGGACUGAGACACGGCCCAGACUCCUACGGGAGGCAGCAGUGGGGAAUCUUGCACAAUGGGCGAAAGCCUGAUGCAGCGACGCCGCGUGCGGGAUGAAGGCCUUCGGGUUGUAAACCGCUUUCAGCAGGGACGAGGCGAAAGUGACGGUACCUGCAGAAGAAGCCCCGGCUAACUACGUG
This 467-nucleotide ribosomal RNA is filed under the name uncultured bacterium. RNAcentral's name for it is "partial 16S ribosomal RNA". It matches the Rfam family "Bacterial small subunit ribosomal RNA", at positions 28 to 507 of the family's 1533-position model. The record is from RNAcentral.